Molecule: ribosomal RNA, 411 nt
Filed under: uncultured bacterium
Lineage: Bacteria
Description: bacterial SSU rRNA
Rfam family: Bacterial small subunit ribosomal RNA
Source: RNAcentral
GUGCCAGCAGCCGCGGUAAUACGUAGGGUCCAAGCGUUAAUCGGAAUUACUGGGCGUAAAGCGUGCGUAGGCGGUCUCGCAAGUCCGAUGUGAAAUCCCCGGGCUUAACCUGGGAAUUGCGUUGGAAACUAUGAGACUAGAGUGUGGCAGAGGGGGGUGGAAUUCCAGGUGUAGCAGUGAAAUGCGUAGAUAUCUGGAGGAACACCGAUGGCGAAGGCAGCCCCCUGGGCCAGCACUGACGCUCAUACACGAAAGCGUGGGGAGCAAACAGGAUUAGAUACCCUGGUAGUCCUAGCCCUAAACCAUCAGGACUUGGCGUGGGCCCCGUCCGGGGUUCGUGUCGUAGCCAACGUGAUAAGUCCUGCGCCUGGGGAGUACGGUCGCAAGGCUGAAACUCAAAUGAAUUGACGG